RNAcentral lists this ribosomal RNA (393 nucleotides) under Triticum aestivum (bread wheat). RNAcentral's name for it is "partial small subunit ribosomal RNA". Lineage: Eukaryota; Viridiplantae; Streptophyta; Magnoliopsida; Poales; Poaceae. The record is from RNAcentral.
AUGACUUAUGCGUUCUGUUACCAUUUCCAAAUGGAGGAUCCCUUAAUCCAAUUAAAGGAGGAUUAUAAAUGGAUAGAUGUCUUUGAUUUCCACUGGAGAUUGGGAACCGAUGGACUUUCAUUGAGAUCUAUCUUAUUGACAGGAUUUAUCACUACUUUAGCUACUUUAGCAGCUUGGCCAAUUACACAGAAUUCAUGAUUAUUCUAUUUCCUGAUGCUCGCAAUGUAUAGUGGUCAAAUAGGAUUAUUUUCCUCGCGAGGCCUUUUACUUCUUUUUAUCAUGUGGGAGUUAGAAUUAAUUCAUGUUUACUUACUUUUAUCCAUGGGGGGGUGCGUCUAUAUUCAACUACAAAGUUUAUUUUGUAUAUUGCACGCGGUUCCAUUUUUUUCUUAA